Long non-coding RNA from Haliotis rubra (blacklip abalone), 238 nucleotides. RefSeq lists it as uncharacterized. Lineage: Eukaryota; Metazoa; Mollusca; Gastropoda; Lepetellida; Haliotidae. The transcript is spliced from 3 exons. The record is from RefSeq and is a predicted model, not a curated record.
AAUGUUGUAGACUUGUUUACAUGGACUAUGAACCUGACGAGGCCCUGCUAAAUGUUCGAGAUCUUCUUACCCUAGGUCACAAAUAAGCUUCUUUCAAAGCUCAGUUCUGAAUCUUGCCAUGAGCGCUUGUAUGCAAUAAUGGCAUCAAGACAGAUCCCACAAACGAUGAGUGAAGAUCAUUUGGUGUCACAGCUGAGUCCAAAGUUCUGGAGUCCACCUCGUAAAACAAACUCGGCAC